GGAAAAUCCAGAGCCAGUAGGGGCUCAGCAACUGAUCCCCAGAGUCUAUAUGCAAGGAAAAGAAGAGAGAGAAUUAAUGAGAGAUUGAGGAUCUUGCAAAGUCUCGUCCCUAACGGAACAAAGGUUGAUAUUAGCACCAUGCUUGAAGAGGCAGUCCAGUAUGUCAAAUUUUUGCAACUCCAAAUUAAG
Molecule: long non-coding RNA, 189 nt
Organism: Nicotiana attenuata
Lineage: Eukaryota; Viridiplantae; Streptophyta; Magnoliopsida; Solanales; Solanaceae
Exons: 3
Source: RefSeq, a predicted model, not a curated record